UCCGUAGGUGAACCUGCGGAAGGAUCAUAGUAAUCGUCUUUGACGUUCGCUUUUCCGUCGUCCUCGGGACAUUAAGGUGCUCUGGUYRAGGAUAAAYGACCCCUCUGACCGAGGUCAAACCCGUCGCUCUGUGUUACCUCYAAAAAUUUUUUUUCCGAGGCACACCUUAAAGAUCGUUCCGCAUUGYGAGUCUAACACCAGUUGUAUAAACUUUUUACAACCGGUAGCGCUGGAUCCCUUGGCACGUCAUUCGAUGAAGACCGUUGCAAAUUGCGAUAAAGUGAUGUGAUGCGCAAGUCCACCACUUAUACGUGAAUCAUCGAGUUGUUGAACGCAUUGCACCGCGCCCUAAUCCGGCUGCGGUAUGCCCCUUUGAGCGUCAUUGUAUUCCUUCGGGAGUCCUUUUACAAGGACCCGAGUUCGGAGUCCUCGGUCCCCUGUGGAUCGUGUUCUCUCAGAUCCCUCGCACCGAUCGCCUGAUGSGUCCUCUAAUGCCUAAGCGUGGAGUUCCUUCAGAGUCCGASASGUGCUUGACCGAGUCUUGAGCUCGUGUCACCAAGUCYGCCUAMCAGCRGUACUACAACRCAUGACCUCAUUGGGGUAGGACAACCCGCUAGACUUAAGCAUAUUAAUCAGCGGAGGAAAAGAAACUAACCAGGAUUCCCUCAGUAACUGCGAGUGAAGCGGGAUCGGCUCAAUGUGUGAAUCUGGCUUGGGGUACAUCCCGGGUUCGAGUUGUGCACUAUGGAUGCUUCGUCUGCGUUUGUAAAGGCGGUGGAAGUCCGUUGAAACACGGCACCUCAGAGGGUCACAGUCCUGUACCACCUGCCUGCACUCGCGCCAAUGACAAGUGCUCCUCGAGUC
RNAcentral lists this ribosomal RNA (864 nucleotides) under uncultured Tulasnella mycobiont of Riccardia multifida. RNAcentral's name for it is "eukaryotic LSU rRNA". The stretch from base 588 to 864 matches the Rfam family "Eukaryotic large subunit ribosomal RNA", at positions 1 to 266 of the family's 3401-position model. The record is from RNAcentral. Lineage: Eukaryota; Fungi; Basidiomycota; Agaricomycetes; Cantharellales; Tulasnellaceae.